This 477-nucleotide ribosomal RNA is filed under the name uncultured bacterium. Its description in RNAcentral is "partial 16S ribosomal RNA". It matches the Rfam family "Bacterial small subunit ribosomal RNA", at positions 28 to 507 of the family's 1533-position model. The record is from RNAcentral.
GAUUAACGCUGGCGGCGUGCAUAACACAUGCAAGUCGAACGAUGAAACUUAAAUGAUUUCUUCGGAAUGAACUUAAGUGGAUUAGUGGCGGACGGGUGAGUAACGCGUGUGUAACCUGCCUUACACAAGGGGAUAGCCGUUGGAAACGACGAAUAAUACCCUAUGAAACUAUCACUUCGCAUGAAGCGAUAGUCAAAGUGUUGGCGGUGUAAGAUGGACUUGCGUCUGAUUAGCUAGUUGGUGAGAAAAAAGCCCACCAAGGCAACGAUCAGUAGCCGGCUUGAGAGAGUGUACGGCCACAUUGGGACUGAGGCACGGCCCAGACUCCUACGGGAGGCAGCAGUGGGGAAUUUUGCACAAUGGGGGAAACCCUGAUGCAGCGACGCCGCGUGAUUUAGAAGGCCUUCGGGUUGUAAAAAUCUUUUGUAUAGGAAGAAAAUGACAGUACUAUACGAAUAAGGUCCGGCUAAUUACGUG